UUGCUAUACACUACCAUAACAGGAAUAAUAACGUGCUGCUCAUAGCAUUUGUCUAUAGUGACACAUAAUUCUUUCAAAAAGUAAUAAAAAAUAAUAGCUAUCAAGAAGCGACUUUGCUAGCCAACUGAAUUUUAGCCCAGCUAAAUGAACGAUGUUGGAUCACUAAAUAGAUCAUGUUUUUCAGAGUAAACACUUACAAAGGACGAGUCUCCAGGCGAAAAUUAAUUCAAACUUGAUUCAGGUGCUUUCGCUCAAAGAAUGGAGCUUCAUAAUUGGAUAGAAGUUAGUUUUUGUUUGAUUAAUACCAACACUCAGAUGACUAUAAUUUUUUUUUGGUUGCUCGAAGAAUAGAUAGAACUAGGACUAAGAAAAAACAUUUUCUAUACACCCGCAAAACAUUAGAUACACCUUACCUUUAUUGAACAUAGCCUUAACGUUGGAAAAAAAUUCCAGCCCUGAUUCUGAGACCUACACGAGACCUGUGCCAGUGCCUUUAUGUCUUUAUUUUCCAGUUAACAAUUUUUUUAAAAAAUGCCUUUUUAUUGCUUCAGCAUACAAAUGGUGAAAAUCCCUGGGUUGGCAUUGAUGGAAGGACUGAUGAUAUUUCUGACAUGAAAACGUGGAAGCUUGAGAUGAUUUCUGAUGCCAUUGACAAAAACAAUAGAGAAAGAUGAGGCUGAAGAAGAAACAUAAGAGCUCACCAACCAGGUAAAAUGCUAACUCCAUAUCAUAGAAAUAUUCUCUUUAGUAAAUGUUUCACGACAUAAGGGUGAAUUUGGAUAUACCGCAAGAUCUUGUGCUUGUUGAUGAGGCUGGCAAAGCUAACUUUGGGUGAGUUUGGAACUCAAGCCAGGACAAUCCUUGUCUUGCUAGGGAAAGGAGGCCAUUUGGCUAUGCUAGCCACUAUUGCUGGCAACUGCAAAAGUUAUCUUACCAUCAGAGCCUCGGAGGAGAUUAUUAAGAUUGAUGUGCAAGCAUUUAGAGAAUAUAUGCAGAUUCUUCAGAUCAAUGCAGGAGAAUGUUGAUUAUGAGAGCAUACUGUCAAACUUCUUAAAUUGGGAUUCUUCUUUAACAGUAUAUCCAUACAAGGUACCUAAACGUAGGCAAGUUACUGUCUUGCAAGCAAGUAAUAGUUGAUAUGGAGGAAGAAGCUGAGGUUCUAAUUGGCACAGAAAAAAAAUCUUAAUAAUCCAUAAAAGAGGACAGUUUUUGUAGUUAUCAACAAUUUUUUGGCUAUGCUAUCCAGUUUUUGCAGUUUUUGUCGUCUGGUAGGAAAAAAUAGCUUAAUAGAACACGUUUUUGAUAUUUGCAUAGUUAAACAUAUUGACGUGACCUUCAGUUUUACAGCAUGGUUUAGUUAAUGUAAGAUGAAGAUUUCCUGAUAUAUCAAGGAUUUUACAGCAUGGUUUAGUUAUGUGUGGAAGCUGCAGCAUCUUGCCAAUUAGUUUCCUGAACUUCCCACUAAAGUCAAUUUUAUUAUUCCUCUGCUUCUUUGUCUCAUGGAUAUCGAUGCAACUGCUAUAGGUUAAUAAAUGCUAGAGACCACCACCCUUGAGUAGGUUUAGCUAAACAUACAAUAUAUGAUGGUUAUUUCUGCUACGGUGCUACCAGAGGUUUUGCCAUGGUUCUAAUUGUGUAUGGCAUAUUUGCCUUCUCAGGUGUUUCUUUCUGGAUUUGCUCACUGCUCUAUGGAUCUAUUAAUUCAAUAAAUAAUGAAUAUGAACCUUUUGGCUAGAUGAGUUGACAUGAGUAGCUUGAAUGCCUUGGCUGGUAGCGGGGGCUUUGCCUUUUGAAUUGUUAGUCUCCUGCAAAACACUCGCACAUUACAAAAUGUUCAGACAGGUUUGGAGAAAUGAAACAGACCCAUGAGUGGAACACUCAUCCUUUCCAUGAAUGGAAUCGCACCUUAAAGGCCAAGCCAUCUAUAGAACUCUUAGAACAAGCCCCCUUACUUUUUUGAAAUAUUUGAGAGUAGCACCUGUAGCCAAUCAGGACCUGUAUACCCGGAAGCCAUACAUUAGUUAUGCAUACAUGUGCCCAAGAUAUAUUUGCAGCCAUGGUUUUAAAGGCGCCAAGGCGUCCUAAGGCGAAGGGGGGCGCUCCGACGCUUAGGCGACGCCUAGGCGGACGCUUUGGACGCCUAGGCGCCUAAGGCGGGCGUUUUUCUAAGGCGGAGGGGGAGCGCUUGGACGCUUAGGCGUCCCUAAGGCGACGCCUAGGCGACGCCUUUAAAACCAUGUUUGCAGCAUGCGGUUAUGUGUGGUGUGUGUGUCCAUGCCCAGCUUAUAGAAUCUCACAUUGCGUUUGAACUUCUACCCUGGAGAUUUAUCUCCUUUCAUCCAACUGGUUUUGAUCAUAGCCAGCUGCUAAAAACUAACUCUUAUUGACAAAGCCACUGAAAUAUUGGUUCUCACGUAUCGACACCUUUCAGUUAAAUACGAACUCAUUUAUUAUUGGAACCUUUCAACUGAACAUAUCAAAGCAAGGACAGUAUCUGAUAAGAGAUUUUUAUUGUGUUUCUUACAACUUUAUGUGACUAUUUAAUGGUUCCUAUUAUAUUGGGCAACGAUCAUUUGAUGUGUUUUAGGCAUGUUUUCCAAAAUAAGCAGACAUGCCAUUUAAUUUUGCUACACGUAGCAAAAACACAGCCGUACCAGUACUUCUCGACUGGUUGCUACAAAUCAAAUGAUUAGGCAUAUUAUGCAUUCCCUUUACAUAAGGUCCUAUUUCUGGUGAGCAUGCACGUAUCUACUUCUUUAGGAAAUUCAUUAAUUUUUAAUUCCCUUAUAGCAAGGUUAAUAAUGCUCACCUUCUUUAUAGUUAGUAUGUAUGCUCUAUUUUCUCAGCUAUAUAUUUGACCGUGGUUCUUUUUGUAUUUGUCUGAUAGGCUUAAUAUCAGAGGAACUGGCAAUGAUGAUGUAUAGUAAUUUUGGUAUGCAAGUAUGAUCAGGACCACCUUGUGUGGCUUGCGUGUUUUUGUAAUUCUUAGUGAUGACCCUGCAGUAUUCUUGUUGAAGAAAAUAACAUUACUUCAUAUGUAAUUAUUGAAUGUGUUGAUGGCGCCCAAAAAAGUGUUAUCUUUAUACAGUUGUUUGGAAGUUUUUAUUUUCCUUAAGACA
Molecule: non-coding RNA, 3119 nt
Organism: Lolium perenne
Lineage: Eukaryota; Viridiplantae; Streptophyta; Magnoliopsida; Poales; Poaceae
Source: RefSeq, a predicted model, not a curated record